GAUGAACGCUGGCGGCGUGCCUAAUACAUGCAAGUCGAGCGAACGGACGAGAAGCUUGCUUCUCUGAUGUUAGCGGCGGACGGGUGAGUAACACGUGGAUAACCUACCUAUAAGACUGGGAUAACUUCGGGAAACCGGAGCUAAUACCGGAUAAUAUUUUGAACCGCAUGGUUCAAAAGUGAAAGACGGUCUUGCUGUCACUUAUAGAUGGAUCCGCGCUGCAUUAGCUAGUUGGUAAGGUAACGGCUUACCAAGGCAACGAUGCAUAGCCGACCUGAGAGGGUGAUCGGCCACACUGGAACUGAGACACGGUCCAGACUCCUACGGGAGGCAGCAGUAGGGAAUCUUCCGCAAUGGGCGAAAGCCUGACGGAGCAACGCCGCGUGAGUGAUGAAGGUCUUCGGAUCGUAAAACUCUGUUAUUAGGGAAGAACAUAUGUGUAAGUAACUGUGCACAUCUUGACGGUACCUAAUCAGAAAGCCUCGGCUAACUACGUG
RNAcentral lists this ribosomal RNA (497 nucleotides) under uncultured bacterium. RNAcentral's name for it is "partial 16S ribosomal RNA". It matches the Rfam family "Bacterial small subunit ribosomal RNA", at positions 28 to 507 of the family's 1533-position model. The record is from RNAcentral.